ACUCUAAUCAUUCAGGAACAUUGUCAAAAUGCAGGAUCUGAGUGUCCAGCUCUUAGUGGCUCCUGAUAUUCUGCAUAUCUAACAAGCUGCCAGAUGAUACCUGU
RNAcentral lists this microRNA precursor (104 nucleotides) under Marmota monax (woodchuck). Lineage: Eukaryota; Metazoa; Chordata; Mammalia; Rodentia; Sciuridae. The record is from RNAcentral.